Molecule: ribosomal RNA, 652 nt
Filed under: uncultured Acidobacteriota bacterium
Lineage: Bacteria; Pseudomonadati; Acidobacteriota
Description: SSU rRNA
Rfam family: Bacterial small subunit ribosomal RNA
Source: RNAcentral
UUAGUUGGUAGGGUAACGGCUGACCAAGGCUAUGAUCGGUAGCCGGCCUGAGAGGGCACACGGCCACACUGGCACUGAAACACGGGCCAGACUCCUACGGGAGGCAGCAGUGGGGAAUCUUGCACAAUGGGGGCAACCCUGAUGCAGCGACGCCGCGUGAGCGAUGAAGCCCUUCGGGGUGUAAAGCUCUUUCGGCAGGGAAGAUUAUGACGGUACCUGCAGAAGCAGCUGCGGCUAACUACGUGCCAGCAGCCGCGGUAAUACGUAGGCAGCAAGCGUUGUUCGGAGUUACUGGGCGUAAAGGGUGUGUAGGCGGCCUUCUAAGUUUGGUGUGAAAUCUCCCGGCUCAACCGGGAGGGUGCGCCGAAGACUGGGGGGCUAGAGUGCGGGAUGGGAGAGUAGAAUUCCUGGUGUAGCGGUGAAAUGCGUAGAUAUCAGGAGGAAUACCUGUGGUGUAGACGGCUCUCUGGACCGCAACUGACGCUGAGACACGAAAGCGUGGGUAGCAAACAGGAUUAGAUACCCUGGUAGUCCACGCCCUAAACGAUGCAUAUUUGGUGUAGGUCAUUCAGUUGAUCUGUGCCGGAGCUAACGCGUUAAAUAUGCCGCCUGGGGAGUACAGUCGCAAGGCUGAAACUCAAAGGAAUUGACG